UGGGGGAUAUUGCACAAUGGGCGGAAGCCUGAUGCAGCAACGCCGCGUGCGGGAUGACGGCCUUCGGGUUGUAAACCGCUUUCGCCUGUGACGAAGCGUGAGUGACGGUAAUGGGUAAAGAAGCACCGGCUAACUACGUGCCAGCAGCCGCGGUGAUACGUAGGGUGCGAGCGUUGUCCGGAUUUAUUGGGCGUAAAGGGCUCGUAGGUGGUUGAUCGCGUCGGAAGUGUAAUCUUGGGGCUUAACCCUGAGCGUGCUUUCGAUACGGGUUGACUUGAGGAAGGUAGGGGAGAAUGGAAUUCCUGGUGGAGCGGUGGAAUGCGCAGAUAUCAGGAGGAACACCAGUGGCGAAGGCGGUUCUCUGGGCCUUUCCUGACGCUGAGGAGCGAAAGCGUGGGGAGCGAACAGGCUUAGAUACCCUGGUAGUCCACGCUGUAAACGGUGGGUACUAGGUGUGGGGUCCAUUCCACGGGUUCCGCGCCGUAGCUAACGCUUUAAGUACCCCGCCUGGGGAGUACGGCCGCAAGGCUAAAACUCAAAGGAAUUGACGGGGCCCCGCACAAGCGGCGGAGCAUGCGGAUUAAUUCGAUGCAACGCGUAGAACCUUACCUGGGUUUGACAUGGAUCGGGAGUGCUCAGAGAUGGGUGUGCCUCUUUUGGGGUCGGUUCACAGGUGGUGCAUGGCUGUCGUCAGCUCGUG
Molecule: ribosomal RNA, 700 nt
Filed under: uncultured bacterium
Lineage: Bacteria
Description: bacterial SSU rRNA
Rfam family: Bacterial small subunit ribosomal RNA
Source: RNAcentral